AGUGACCAAUGAGUGACCAAUGAGUGACCAGAGGUGGCCAAAAUGACCAAAGGUCACUUCAGAGUGACCAGUGGUGGCCUUGCAGUGACCAUGAGUGACCAGUACUGGUCAAGAGUGACCACCAGUGACCAAUGGUCAGUUUUGGGUGGCCAAGAGUGACCAGUGGUCACUUUGGGGUGGUCAGGAGUGACCAAUGGUCACUCUGGGGUGGUCAAGGUGGCUGGAAGUGACCAGUGGUCACUUUGGGGUGACCUUAGAGUGAUCAGUGGUCACUUUGGGGUGACCAUGAGUGGUCAAUGGUCAUUUUGGGGUGGUCAGAGAUGGCCUGGGAUGGUCAGUGGUCACUUUAGAGUGACCAGGAGUGACCAAUGGUCACUUUGGGGUGGUCAGAGAUGGCCUGGAAUGGUCAGGGGUCACUUUGGAGUGACCAGGAGUGACCAAUGGUGGCCUUAAAGUGACCACU
RNAcentral lists this long non-coding RNA (463 nucleotides) under Zonotrichia albicollis (white-throated sparrow). Its description in RNAcentral is "lncRNA (ENSZALG00000004284.1)". Lineage: Eukaryota; Metazoa; Chordata; Aves; Passeriformes; Passerellidae. The record is from RNAcentral.